GACGAACGCUGGCGGCGUGCCUAAUACAUGCAAGUCGAACGAGUGGAGGACGGGUUAGUAACACGUGGGAACCUACCCAUCAAAGGGGGAUAACUACUGGAAACGGUAGCUAAUACCGCAUACCUUCCCACUUGCCCAGAUGGGUUUAGCUUGUUGGUGGGGUAACGGGCAACCAGGGCGACGAUCCCUGGCUGGGCUGCGAGGAUGACAAGCCACACUGGAACUGAGAAACGGUCAAGACUCCUACGGGAGGCAGAGGUGGGGAAUAUUGCACAAUGGGCGCAAGCCUGAUGCAGCCAUGCCGCGUGUAGGAAGAAGGCCUGCGGGUUGUAAAGUACUUUCAGCGGGGAGGCGGUACCCGCAGAAGAAGCACCGGCUAACUCCGUGCCAGCAGCCGCGGUAAUAC
RNAcentral lists this ribosomal RNA (406 nucleotides) under uncultured bacterium. Its description in RNAcentral is "partial 16S ribosomal RNA". It matches the Rfam family "Bacterial small subunit ribosomal RNA", at positions 28 to 526 of the family's 1533-position model. The record is from RNAcentral.